CCUACGGGCGGCUGCAGUGGGGAAUAUUGGACAAUGGGCGCAAGCCUGAUCCAGCCAUGCCGCGUGAGUGAUGACGGCCUUCGGGUUGUAAAGCUCUUUUGUCCGGGAAGAUAAUGACUGUACCGGAAGAAUAAGCCCCGGCAAACUUCGUGCCAGCAGCCGCGGUAAUACGAAGGGGGCUAGCGUUGUUCGGAUUUACUGGGCGUAAAGCGCACGUAGGCGGCUUGUUAAGUCAGAGGUGAAAGCCUGGAGCUCAACUCCAGAACUGCCUUUGAUACUGGCAAGCUCGAGUAUGGAAGAGGUUGGUGGAACUCCGAGUGUAGAGGUGAAAUUCGUAGAUAUUCGGAAGAACACCAGUGGCGAAGGCGGCCAACUGGUCCAUUACUGACGCUGAGGUGCGAAAGCGUGGGGAGCAAACAGGAUUAGAUACCCUUGUAGUC
Molecule: ribosomal RNA, 440 nt
Filed under: Weissella confusa
Lineage: Bacteria; Bacillati; Bacillota; Bacilli; Lactobacillales; Lactobacillaceae
Description: bacterial SSU rRNA
Rfam family: Bacterial small subunit ribosomal RNA
Source: RNAcentral